Molecule: antisense RNA, 116 nt
Filed under: Hafnia alvei FB1
Lineage: Bacteria; Pseudomonadati; Pseudomonadota; Gammaproteobacteria; Enterobacterales; Hafniaceae
Description: Bacterial antisense RNA HPnc0260
Rfam family: Bacterial antisense RNA HPnc0260
Source: Rfam by way of RNAcentral
AGUAAUAAAGAAUGAUUAGAGCGUUUAGCGAGAUAGGACAGGGAAGGUUUUAGAUAGAAGAUGAUACAGAGAUUGAAUGGUGCGUCCGAGUGAACUCGAAUCACCGACCCCCACCA